UCCUACGGGGGGCAGCAGUAGGGAAUUUUCGUCAAUGGGCGCAAGCCUGAACGAGCAAUGCCGCGUGAACGAGGAAGGUCUUCGGAUCGUAAAGUUCUGUUGAAGGGGAAAAAGAGCGGAGAGAGGGAAUGGUCUCCGAUUGAUAUUACCCUUCGAGGAAGUCACGGCUAACUACGUGCCAGCAGCCGCGGUAAUACGUAGGUGGCGAGCGUUAUCCGGAAUGAUUGGGCGUAAAGGGUGCGUAGGCGGCCUGCUAAGUCUGGAGUGAAAGGUACCGGCUCAACCGGUACAGGCUCUGGAAACUG
RNAcentral lists this ribosomal RNA (305 nucleotides) under uncultured bacterium. RNAcentral's name for it is "bacterial SSU rRNA". It matches the Rfam family "Bacterial small subunit ribosomal RNA", at positions 337 to 635 of the family's 1533-position model. The record is from RNAcentral.